This is a long non-coding RNA of Nymphaea colorata (pocket water lily), 825 nucleotides long. RefSeq lists it as uncharacterized. The record is from RefSeq and is a predicted model, not a curated record. The transcript has 2 exons. NCBI's taxonomy places the organism in Eukaryota, Viridiplantae, Streptophyta, Magnoliopsida, Nymphaeales, Nymphaeaceae.
UUGCUCUCUUUUGAAGUUUCACAAGGGGCAAAAACGCAGCGCCGCUGCAGGAAGAGAGUGCGAUGGAGAGAACCAGAGUCAAAGAUAGGGAGAUGGAGCAACAAAAUGAAAGAGUGAGAAAGGGAGAGAGCUCUAGCAAGGUUGCAGGCAGAUAACCUGUGGAUGCAUCUUCCAAAACUUGCGUAUCUUGCUCAACGAAGCGAACUCGACGACAUACUCGGGUAGCAGAUUGUGUAUCUUGCUUCUGAGAGUUUUGGCACUGUACUCUAGCUUCUGCGACUCCACCCAAACAGGAACCACGUAAUGGGUGUUCACCUCAUGCACAGCGGUGCCGUCGGCCAGUCUUUGGCAGAUGGCAUCCUUCCAUUUCCGAACAUCACACAAGGGCGAGAAGUCCGGGACCAGGAGGGAGGCAUCCUCCUCAUAGUUCAAGUGUAUGACAGUCUUGAGUUCUUCUAUAGAGAUUCCAUCAAGUGAUUGAAGAUUCAGUAAAUUUUGUGCUUAUGAAGUAGAAGAAUUGAGGCGUUGAAGGCUUGAGACUAUACAGUUCUUUGUAGAUGCCUUGAUAUUUUGUGGAGACUUAUUGGACAGUCUAUGGGUGGCUCGCCCUUAUGCUUUGGGCGUUUUUUUUUUAGAAAAAAAAAACCAUUGGUAAAUAAUGUCCUUGGAGGCUUGGAUUAUCUUGCUAGCCAGGCUUGUUAGCAAUUUAAAAGUUAGUUUUGAAUGUCAAAUCAGAAAGUUAGAUCAGAAUGAGAUCUUUCAAUAUAAAAUUUGGAUUGGGAUUGAAAUCGGAUAUUGAAUUAAAAAGUCGGAUUCGGAUUUUAA